UCCAGUGCCAAACAACCACCAAAGUGACAAUGUGGCCGAGCACCACCAGUGCUGGGAAAGAGUUUCCAGGGGGAUUCACCGGCAUGAGGACCCGGAGGAAGAGGGGGAGUGCAGGCCGACUACAGCAGGCUGCGGAGUCACUGCCGUCUGGCUCAGUAAAUAAUAUAUGAGGCUGUUCUAUGGAGAGUGUCCUCGCUUUGGGAGCUGGAGUUCUCUGUGACCUUUCUUUUCUAGCGUGUAUUAAGCCCUAGGCUAAAUGAAACCAUAUGCAGUCUUCCCCCCUGCCUCAAAAUAACAAAGGUGCCUCACAGUUUCAAAGAGGACAACCAGUUCUUCCAGUGACGACGGCCAUUAAAGCAAAGCCUUUAAAAGUAGAACAAACGCAGGGAAUCCCCUCUCGGUCAGACUGACCCAUCUGAAACUACAGUCUUACUGCUCCAAAAGCUCUGUUUACGAAUAAAAUUGGCUCAGAUCAGUACUUUUAACAUCUUAGCGCAGUUCCCAGGCAACACAAAAACUUCCCAUCAAUAACACAACAAAGCUAAUUUAAAGAAUGACGGGUUUUUUUCCCAAAUAAACCACACACUUUUUUGGGGGAAGAUUUUUAUCUCUGAUCAGUCAGUGUUAGUUAUGUUGUUUAUUAAAUAAAUCAAAGAUGGCAUCCCUCAGAAUGUAAAAGAAAGCGAUAUUGUCUAAAAACAAAUAAUAUUUAUAACCCAACACUGCCCAACAGACAUAAACAAGUUGCUUGGAAACCAGAAAGAACCCUGUCAAACCUGACCUAUGUUAGCGCAACAGGUGUGUACAGUAUACUAGCUGCGCAAAUAUCUGGUUAGGAAUCUAAGUUCUUCCUCCACCCUCUGCCUAAAUGCCAUCGUGAAACAGGAAGGGUGACAUUCACAGGCAGUGUGGUUUAAAAAUAAAACAAAAAGUACAUUCAACAUAAUUCAAGUCGGCCAUAGUGAAGACACGUUUAAAAAUGGAAAACAUUUGGCUUCGAAAUAGAUGGCCGUCACAGAUAUGGUGUCCGUUCACCCUCUAAAAGUUUCACACACACACACACACAACCUGCCUGAGAUUUCAACAUACCAGGUAC
Molecule: long non-coding RNA, 1096 nt
Organism: Acipenser ruthenus (sterlet)
Lineage: Eukaryota; Metazoa; Chordata; Actinopteri; Acipenseriformes; Acipenseridae
Exons: 3
Source: RefSeq, a predicted model, not a curated record